GUGGAGGGAGCCGUCGAAGGUGGGAUCGGCGAUUGGGACGAAGUCGUAACAAGGUAGCCGUACCGGAAGGUGCGGCUGGAUCACCUCCUUUCUAAGGAGCACCACGAAAAGGGUUGAGACACUGGGUCUUACCCGAGCCGUGAGGAACCGGUUGCCUGUAGUGGGCACGGUUUGGUGCACAACAAACGUUGAGCCGCAAGGGAAUUUUGCGGUGAUGGACUGCCAGACACACUAUUGGGCUUUGAGACAACAGGCCCGUGCCCCUUUCGGGGGGUGGCAUCCCGUUGGGGGUGUCGGCGUGUUGUUGCCUCACUUUGGUGGUGGGGUGUGGUGUUUGAUUUGUGGAUAGUGGUUGCGAGCAUCUAGCACGCAAGGGAACGGAUCGCCGACUCCUCUUUUGGGGGGUUGGCUGCUGUGUUCUUGUGUGUUGAUGUGCAAUUUCUUUUGAAACUCAUUUUUGGUUUUUGUGUUGUAAGUGUUUAAGGGCGCAUGGUGGAUGCCUUGGCACUGGGAGCCGAUG
RNAcentral lists this unclassified non-coding RNA (520 nucleotides) under Mycolicibacterium fortuitum. RNAcentral's name for it is "partial 16S-23S ribosomal RNA intergenic spacer". The stretch from base 1 to 91 matches the Rfam family "Bacterial small subunit ribosomal RNA", at positions 1443 to 1533 of the family's 1533-position model. The record is from RNAcentral. Lineage: Bacteria; Bacillati; Actinomycetota; Actinomycetes; Mycobacteriales; Mycobacteriaceae.